RNAcentral lists this transfer RNA (23 nucleotides) under Dilutineuron fasciculare. RNAcentral describes it as "partial tRNA-Phe". The record is from RNAcentral. Lineage: Eukaryota; Viridiplantae; Streptophyta; Bryopsida; Grimmiales; Grimmiaceae.
GCCGGAAUAGCUCAGUGUAGAGC